Long non-coding RNA from Cavia porcellus (domestic guinea pig), 1164 nucleotides. RefSeq lists it as uncharacterized. NCBI's taxonomy places the organism in Eukaryota, Metazoa, Chordata, Mammalia, Rodentia, Caviidae. The transcript is spliced from 5 exons. The record is from RefSeq and is a predicted model, not a curated record.
GGCCGCAACCUGGUCUUCCAGCCGCGCUUCCGCGGGAUUUUCUUUUGUCGCGAUGCCAGCUCUUCUAAGUGCCUCAGAACUCCGAGAAUCUGCAAACAUCUCUCUUCUUGCACAGCUGUCUGUUCUCUCUCGGCAGCCGCCCGACACUGGGGCUGCACGGCCUUGCUUCUUCACGGACAUGUGGAGAUGGAUGGAAACUUCUCCUGUGGUCAGCACCUUGGAUUCUACAGCAGCCAGCCAGCUGGUCCCUCCCCUACACUGCCUCUCCAGCUCUCCCUGCUGCCAGUGCAGAGCCCUGCUGUUCUGGUCUGUGCCACAUGCUGGCAGACAAAUGCCACAUUGAAGACAAUCAAUAAUAGUUGGCACAACAGAUAAAACAGACACGCUCCACCACUUUUAGGAGAUCUCCAAUCCUUUUCCUAGAGGACUUCUAAUGAGGUGUGCAUAAACUGGAGCUGUCUAUUAGGAACGCCCGUGUGAUAUCAGCUUGCGUGGGAGAACCUGGUGCUGGAGCCUGAGUGCUUUGUUUGCCUCCUCAGUUCUCACCAAGCCUGACAGUCUGUACCCUGGGGAGAGCUUGGAUCUGAGUGCACUGAGUUUUUUCUCAGUGAUGAUCCUAUUGGUGUUGUCCAGGAACUCUAGGAGCAGAAAAUGGAGACUGAGGCCACCAGAGGAAGUGUAAUUGGAGCUGUGGCUGUCCCUGCAGGCUGCUCAGAGCAUUGGGGACUGCUCUUCACCCUGGGAAGAAUUUGGAUCCACACUGGCCCUAACCUGUUCCUCCAGCCCAGCCUGCCCACCCCCUGACAGCACAGUUAGCUCAUCAGUGGGCGGAUUCACGGAGGAGCACAAGGCCUCCUGACACAGUCGCCUUCCAAAUGCAUGUGAACUUAGGAGAACAUUUUAGGUCUAAAUGAUCGCAGAGUAUGUGCCUUUCUGAAGAAAAGGUAUUUUAGUGUUUUUGUGUUCCAAGUUAAAAAACUGUCACUACCAAAGAAUUAGGAUUAUAGACUUUGAUUUGUAAAAUAAUACAAUUAAGUACAGUAGGUUUAAAGGUUACUUGUAUUUGGAUAAUACUAGGCAUUUUAAAAUAAAACUCCCUCAAAGUGGAGUUCAUUGGGGGAAUUAGAAACUGUUGCCACGUAAAUAAAAUUGUGUGUUUUAGAA